UACAGAGGGGGCAAGCGUUGUUCGGAAUUACUGGGCGUAAAGGGCGCGUAGGCGGCCCGCUAAGUCAGACGUGAAAUCCCUCGGCUUAACCGGGGAACUGCAUCUGAUACUGGAUGGCUUGAGAUUGGGAGAGGGAUGCGGAAUUCCAGGUGUAGCGGUGAAAUGCGUAGAUAUCUGGAGGAACACCGGUGGCGAAGGCGGCAUCCUGGACCAACACUGACGCUGAGGAGCGAAAGCCAGGGGAGCAAACGGG
Molecule: ribosomal RNA, 253 nt
Filed under: uncultured bacterium
Lineage: Bacteria
Description: partial 16S ribosomal RNA
Rfam family: Bacterial small subunit ribosomal RNA
Source: RNAcentral